GCCUUACCACGUCAAAGUGUGAGGCUGGAUUAAGAUGAAGAGCCUGGAGGCAAACAGCCUGGCAGCAAAGAGACGAAUCUGGAAGCUGUCGUAUCUGCUCAAGGGACAGGCAACCGUGUGCUGCUCUACCAGUCUCUGCUUGCCGACACCCUGCUCAAGUGGCCGACCUUCCUCCUAAUCAUAGAGCCUAAUCAGUAAAACAGCUGCUGUACUCACUGAGCCCAGGAGGGAGGCGGCUUGCCCCUGAUCCCAGUACUUUGGCGCCUGUUGGUCACGACAGCCUUUGGCACAGAGUUUUCUUUAGGAGCAGCUUCUGGUUCCCCAGCCCAGAGCGGAGCCCGACUUUGAUCAUGUCUAGUUCCCACGGGGAGCAAUGCAUCUCUUCUAGUGGUGGAAAGGUUUGGAAAUCCCAGUGACAAUUGCACAACACUGUGACUGUAACGAAUGCCGUUGAUUUGGACUCCUUAUAAAAUGAUUUAAAUGGCCAAUUUUAUGGAUAUUUUGCCACAUUUUUUUUUCUUUUUUUGGCCACUCUGCAGCAUGUGGGGUUCCCAGGCCAGGGAUCAGUCAGCCCUGGCCAGGGUUCAGACCCAAGCUGCAGGUGCAUGCACUUGCUGCAAUGCCUGGUCAGUCACCCACUGUGCCAGGCAGGAGGUGGAACCUGCAUCCCAGCACUACACAGGCAGCAGCAGAUCCCCUUGUGCCGCAGUGGCAACUCUGCCACCAUUUUUUCGAAAGUGAAAACAAACAAACAAAAAAUCCAAGGAGGCUAAAGGGAGACCAGGCAUGCCCUGCGGGGUUUCCUGAAAUAACAUGGGGCUGGCAGACCAUGCAGUUGGCCCCUGGUCCCACCCUUGCUUGGCUGUACGACCUUGGGUACCUAAACCUCUCAUCCUGAAUGAGGAUAACAUGCUGCCCUCAGGGGACUGUCACGGAGCUCAAAUGCGAUCCAAUGGUGUGGACACUCCCUGCAAACCACUCGAUACUUGUUCGUCAGCACCAUCCUGCUCUCCCUCCCCUCUCCGCAAAGAAAGAAGGCAAGACCUCCAUCAGCAACAAAAUAUAACAGUACUUUUUUCUUCUUGCCUUGAGGCUUACAAUUCUGUUAAAUGGAAACCUCCAGCAGUUAGGACGGGAAGAGAGGAAAUGAAAGGACCCUCUCAGUCUCUGGCUUCUUGCUGUGAAGGAGAUGCUGUUUAUUCUCUUGGGUUGGCUUUUGUGGGACCUCCAGGGAGGGGAUGCUGAGACUCAAGAUGGCAAAGGAGAGCCGCUUGGUGGGACAAAGGCGCCCAAGAACCAUCCCAGCAUCACAGGGCUCCUGGCAUGGGCAGCGGAGAAACGAUGUCCCUGGCCCGUCCCUUCUUCUCCGCUCUAGGCCCCCUCGCCUUGCCUUCAUACCUUAGGUUGCCUUUCCCAUCUUUCUCCUGGGAGAUUUAUUUCUGUCCCUUUUUUUCAUCUGAAGCAGCGGAAAUGAAUCAUCUUUCGGUCUGUUUUGGUAAACAGCCCCACGGCCUCUGACCCCUCUCUGGGCUCUCUCACUGGUUCUUCUGAAGAUGUUCCUAGGCUAGGCCUCACCUCCCACAGUCAAGACCCUCCUGGCUGAUUAUUCUUGGUAAUGUCCCCCUCCCCUGGGACCUGGAGGCUUGACCCCCUCCACCCAGGGGAAGAUGGGAGGUGACACACAGCAUUCCAAGGGAUGAUCCCAUGAGCUGACCAGAGGCGCAGGAGAAGCAAGGGAGCCAGUGUGUUUUGAGGGCUUUGUGUGACUUGUACUGGCUCAUCUUAAUGACCUGAUUAGGUGAUCGCUCCACCUUCAUUCUACAGAAGAGUCCAAGGCUCGGGGAAGUGAAGGAACUUGCCCAAGGCCACACAGCUGGGAAGUACGGAGCCAAGUUUCAAAGUCUGGAUCCCUGGACUUACGCUAUCAUACCAUGCUGCCAGAUGUGUUCACAUGUGUGUAUGCCUGUGUGUUGAACUGGAGAUGCUGGCAGGUCAGUUAGAAGAUCGGCAGCCCAUCAGGAUGGAAACUCAAGAUCCGUGUGCAUUAAGCCUUAGGCAAAUGACAGAUGGGUGCUUGCCUGCAGAGGGUCUGGCAAGUGUGCACAGUGCGUGUCUUACCAGGAGCCUGUGGGUCACUGACGAUGAUGUCAAAGAGGGACAGGGAUGGGGACCAGGAUGGGGAUUCAUGAAAUGCCCAGAUUCAAGACCACCUAAGCCCUGCCCCCACCUCCUACUGAUGGAACUUCACAGAUAAAAGUGCCCAGUGGUGUCCCUGUUGGUGAAACCAUUCUUCCUGGGGAACACAGUCAUGCACCUAUUUAUUGGACUUCUAAAAAUGUGCAGGUGCUGUUUCUAGGAGCUUUGUGAGAUACGGAAAUAAAGCUUCUG
RNAcentral lists this long non-coding RNA (2388 nucleotides) under Sus scrofa (pig). RNAcentral's name for it is "lncRNA (ENSSSCG00000056408.1)". Lineage: Eukaryota; Metazoa; Chordata; Mammalia; Artiodactyla; Suidae. The record is from RNAcentral.